This 465-nucleotide ribosomal RNA is filed under the name uncultured bacterium. RNAcentral's name for it is "partial 16S ribosomal RNA". It matches the Rfam family "Bacterial small subunit ribosomal RNA", at positions 338 to 795 of the family's 1533-position model. The record is from RNAcentral.
CCUACGGGUGGCAGCAGUGGGGAAUAUUGCGCAAUGGGCGAAAGCCUGACGCAGCGACGCCGCGUGAGGGAUGAAGGUCUUCGGAUCGUAAACCUCUGUCAGCAGGGAAGAACGGUCACUGUGCUAAUCAGCAGUGAAUUGACGGUACCUGAUUAAGAAGCCCCGGCUAACUACGUGCCAGCAGCCGCGGUAAUACGUAGGGGGCAAGCGUUAUCCGGAUUUACUGGGUGUAAAGGGAGCGUAGACGGCAGCGCAAGUCUGAAGUGAAAUGCCGGGGCUUAACCCCGGAACUGCGUUGGAAACUGGGCAGCUAGAGUGCAGGAGAGGUAAGUGGAAGUCCUAGUGUAGCGGUGAAAUGCGUAGAUAUUAGGAGGAACACCAGUGGCGAAGGCGGCUUACUGGACUGUAACUGACGUUGAGGCUCGAAAGCGUGGGGAGCAAACAGGAUUAGAUACCCCGGUAGUC